Long non-coding RNA from Sphaeramia orbicularis (orbiculate cardinalfish), 198 nucleotides. RefSeq lists it as uncharacterized. The transcript has 3 exons. The record is from RefSeq and is a predicted model, not a curated record. NCBI's taxonomy places the organism in Eukaryota, Metazoa, Chordata, Actinopteri, Kurtiformes, Apogonidae.
GGAAGCUGGGAGCAGCCGGACUGGGAAGCCACACAACAAAAGAGUACAAACUGCUUCUGUAUCUGAGCCAUCAGAACAAGUGACUGCUGCCAAGAUCCAUCCAGGCUUUAUGUUAACGCUUGAAAGGGCGUUCUCCACCUGCCCCACUGUUGAGUGAUGAUGAAGACGAUGAUCUGGACUGGCUAAACUGACAUGACA